CUUGUUCCAAGAAAAGCCUCUAAGCUUCAGUCAUACGAGACCGUACCGCAAACCGACACAGGUGGGCGAGAUGAGUAUUCUAAGGCGCUUGAGAGAACUCGGGAGAAGGAACUCGGCAAAUUGGUACCGUAACUUCGGGAAAAGGUACGCCCCGGUAGCUUGAUUGGUUUACUCCAUGAGGGUGAAAGGGUUGCAAUAAACUGGUGGCUGCGACUGUUUAAUAAAAACACAGCACUCUGCAAACACGAAAGUGGACGUAUAGGGUGUGACGCCUGCCCGGUGCUGGAAGAUUAAAUGAUGGGGUGCAAGCUCUUGAUUGAAGUCCCAGUAAACGGCGGCCGUAACUAUAACGGUCCUAAGGUAGCGAAAUUCCUUGUCGGGUAAGUUCCGACCUGCACGAAUGGCGUAACGAUGGCCACACUGUCUCCUCCCGAGACUCAGCGAAGUUGAAAUGUUUGUGAUGAUGCAAUCUACCCGCGGCUAGACGGAAAGACCCCAUGAACCUUUACUGUAGCUUUGCAUUGGACUUUGAACCAAUCUGUGUAGGAUAGGUGGGAGGCUUUGAAGCGGGGACGCUAGUUCUCGUGGAGCCAACCUUGAAAUACCACCCUGGUUUGUUUGAGGUUCUAACCUUGGUCCGUUAUCCGGAUCGGGGACAGUGCAUGGUAGGCAGUUUGACUGGGGCGGUCUCCUCCUAAAGUGUAACGGAGGAGUUCGAAGGUACGCUAGAUACGGUCGGACAUCGUGUUGAUAGUGCAAUGGCAUAAGCGUGCUUAACUGCGAGACUGACAAGUCGAGCAGGUACGAAAGUAGGACAUAGUGAUCCGGUGGUUCUGUAUGGAAGGGCCAUCGCUCAACGGAUAAAAGGUACUCUGGGGAUAACAGGCUGAUUCCUCCCAAGAGUUCAUAUCGACGGGGGAGUUUGGCACCUCGAUGUCGGCUCAUCACAUCCUGGGGCUGUAGCCGGUCCCAAGGGUAUGGCUGUUCGCCAUUUAAAGUGGUACGUGAGCUGGGUUUAAAACGUCGUGAGACAGUUUGGUCCCUAUCUGCCGUGGGCGUUGGAAAUUUGAAGGGGGCUGCUCCUAGUACGAGAGGACCGGAGUGGACGAACCUCUGGUGUACCGGUUGUCACGCCAGUGGCAUUGCCGGGUAGCUAAGUUCGGAAGAGAUAACCGCUGAAAGCAUCUAAGCGGGAAACUUGCCUUGAGAUGAGAUUUCCCAGAGCCUUGAGCUCUUUGAAGGGUCGUUCGAGACCAGGACGUUGAUAGGCUGGGUGUGGAAACAAAAA
This 1288-nucleotide ribosomal RNA is filed under the name metagenome. Its description in RNAcentral is "bacterial LSU rRNA". It matches the Rfam family "Bacterial large subunit ribosomal RNA", at positions 1602 to 2879 of the family's 2925-position model. The record is from RNAcentral.